AAAGAAACCAACCGGGAUUGCCUCAGUAACGGCGAGUGAAGCGGCAAGAGCUCAAAUUUGAAAUCUGGCCCCUCCGGGGUCCGAGUUGUAAUUUGUAGAGGAUGCUUCGGGUGCGGCCCCUGUCUAAGUGCCCUGGAACGGGCCAUCGGAGAGGGUGAGAAUCCCGUCUGGGAUGGGGUGUCCGUGCCCGUGUGAAGCUCCUUCGACGAGUCGAGUUGUUUGGGAAUGCAGCUCUAAAUGGGUGGUAAAUUUCAUCUAAAGCUAAAUACUGGCCGGAGACCGAUAGCGCACAAGUAGAGUGAUCGAAAGAUGAAAAGCACUUUGAAAAGAGAGUUAAACAGCACGUGAAAUUGUUGAAAGGGAAGCGCUUGCGACCAGACUCGCCCACGGGGUUCAGCCGGCUUUCGGGCCGGUGUACUUCCCCGGGGGCGGGCCAGCGUCGGUUUGGGCGGCCGGUCAAAGGCCCCCGGAAUGUAACGCCCCUCCGGGGGCGUCUUAUAGCCGGGGGUGUCAUGCGGCCAGCCUAGACCGAGGAACGCGCUUCGGCACGGACGCUGGCAUAAUGGUCGCAAACGAC
RNAcentral lists this ribosomal RNA (577 nucleotides) under Aspergillus conicus. RNAcentral's name for it is "eukaryotic LSU rRNA". It matches the Rfam family "Eukaryotic large subunit ribosomal RNA", at positions 58 to 648 of the family's 3401-position model. The record is from RNAcentral. RNAcentral also lists the same sequence under 2 other names. Lineage: Eukaryota; Fungi; Ascomycota; Eurotiomycetes; Eurotiales; Aspergillaceae.